AGAGUUUGAUCCUGGCUCAGGACGAACGCUGGCGGCGUGCCUAACACAUGCAAGUCGAACGGGACUCAGCCCUUCGGGACUGAGUUUAGUGGCGAACGGGUGAGUAACGCGUGAGGAACCUGCCUUUCAGUGGGGGACAACAGUUGGAAACGACUGCUAAUACCGCAUAAUGCUUUUUGAUGGCAUCAUUGAAAAGCCAAAGAUUUAUUGCUGAAAGAUGGCCUCGCGUCUGAUUAGCUGGUUGGUGAGGUAACGGCCCACCAAGGCGACGAUCAGUAGCCGGUCUGAGAGGAUGAACGGCCACAUUGGGACUGAGAUACGGCCCAGACUCCUACGGGAGGCAGCAGUGGGGAAUAUUGGGCAAUGGGGGAAACCCUGACCCAGCAACGCCGCGUGAAGGAAGAAGGCCUUCGGGUUGUAAACUUCUUUUACCAGGGACGAAAAAGAUGACGGUACCUGGAGAAAAAGCAACGGCUAACUACGUGCCAGCAGCCGCGGUAAUACGUAGGUUGCAAGCGUUGUCCGGAUUUACUGGGUGUAAAGGGCGUGUAGGCGGAGAUGCAAGUUGGGAGUGAAAUCCAUGGGCUCAACCCAUGAACUGCUCUCAAAACUGUAUCCCUUGAGUAUCGGAGAGGCAAGCGGAAUUCCUAGUGUAGCGGUGAAAUGCGUAGAUAUUAGGAGGAACACCAGUGGCGAAGGCGGCUUGCUGGACGACAACUGACGCUGAGGCGCGAAAGCGUGGGGAGCAAACAGGAUUAGAUACCCUGGUAGUCCACGCUGUAAACGAUGAAU
RNAcentral lists this ribosomal RNA (792 nucleotides) under uncultured bacterium. RNAcentral's name for it is "bacterial SSU rRNA". It matches the Rfam family "Bacterial small subunit ribosomal RNA", at positions 8 to 814 of the family's 1533-position model. The record is from RNAcentral.